UACAGAGGUGGCAAGCGUUGUUCGGAAUUACUGGGCGUAAAGGGCGCGUAGGCGGCCUUUCAAGUCCUGUGUGAAAUCCCUCGGCUCAACUGAGGAAUUGCACGGGAAACUGUUUGGCUUGAGUUCGGGAGAGGGAAGCGGAAUUCCGGGUGUAGCGGUGAAAUGCGUAGAUAUCCGGAGGAACACCGGUGGCGAAGGCGGCUUCCUGGACCGACACUGACGCUGAGGCGCGAAAGCUAGGGGAGCAAACGGG
This 253-nucleotide ribosomal RNA is filed under the name uncultured bacterium. RNAcentral describes it as "partial 16S ribosomal RNA". It matches the Rfam family "Bacterial small subunit ribosomal RNA", at positions 524 to 776 of the family's 1533-position model. The record is from RNAcentral.